GUGGGGAAUUUUGGACAAUGGGCGCAAGCCUGAUCCAGCAAUGCCGCGUGCAGGAAGAAGGCCUUCGGGUUGUAAACUGCUUUUGUACGGAACGAAACGGUCCUGGCUAAUACCCGGGGCUAAUGACGGUACCGUAAGAAUAAGCACCGGCUAACUACGUGCCAGCAGCCGCGGUAAUACGUAGGGUGCGAGCGUUAAUCGGAAUUACUGGGCGUAAAGCGUGCGCAGGCGGUGCUGUAAGACAGGCGUGAAAUCCCCGGGCUCAACAGGGGAAUUGCGCUUGUGACUGCAGUGCUGGAGUGCGGCAGAGGGGGAUGGAAUUCCGCGUGUAGCAGUGAAAUGCGUAGAUAUGCGGAGGAACACCGAUGGCGAAGGCAAUCCCCUGGGCCUGCACUGACGCUCAUGCACGAAAGCGUGGGGAGCAAACAGGAUUAGAUACCCGAGUAGUCC
RNAcentral lists this ribosomal RNA (450 nucleotides) under uncultured bacterium. RNAcentral's name for it is "bacterial SSU rRNA". It matches the Rfam family "Bacterial small subunit ribosomal RNA", at positions 354 to 796 of the family's 1533-position model. The record is from RNAcentral.